RNAcentral lists this transfer RNA (56 nucleotides) under Oesophagostomoides longispicularis. RNAcentral describes it as "tRNA-Pro". The record is from RNAcentral. Lineage: Eukaryota; Metazoa; Nematoda; Chromadorea; Rhabditida; Strongylidae.
CAGUAUGUAGUUUAUGUAAAAUAUAAUAUUUGGGUUAUUAAGAAUUUGUUACUGAG